This 403-nucleotide RNase P RNA is filed under the name Paenibacillus sp. 79R4. RNAcentral's name for it is "RNase P RNA component class A". It matches the Rfam family "Bacterial RNase P class A". From Rfam's summary of the family: Ribonuclease P (RNase P) is a ubiquitous endoribonuclease, found in archaea, bacteria and eukarya as well as chloroplasts and mitochondria. Its best characterised activity is the generation of mature 5'-ends of tRNAs by cleaving the 5'-leader elements of precursor-tRNAs. Cellular RNase Ps are ribonucleoproteins. Lineage: Bacteria; Bacillati; Bacillota; Bacilli; Caryophanales; Paenibacillaceae. The record is from RNAcentral.
AAAGUUUGACAGACAAUCGCUGGCGGCUUCGGCCGCGAGAGGAAAGUCCGGGCUCCAUAGGGCAGGAUGCUGGAUAACGUCCAGUCAGCGCGAGCUGAAGGAUAGUGCCACAGAAAUGGACCGCCGAUGGCCGCUAUUAUAGCGGCACAGGCAAGGAUGGAACCGAGGUGUAAGAGACCCCGAGGAGCGCUGGUGACUUCGUUCCUGGUAAACCCCAUCUGGAGCAAGACCUAAUGGGACGCAGCUUCCUUGGAAGCAGCCUUUGCCCGAGGCGCGUCCGGGUUGGUCGCUGGAACCGCAUAGUAAUGUGCGGUCUAGAUAGAUGAUUGUCACUUACAGCGGGAGGGUAGUUCCCGUUCUUACCGCUACGAGUACAGAACCCGGCUUACGGCAAACUUUCAUC